RNAcentral lists this ribosomal RNA (253 nucleotides) under uncultured bacterium. Its description in RNAcentral is "partial 16S ribosomal RNA". It matches the Rfam family "Bacterial small subunit ribosomal RNA", at positions 524 to 776 of the family's 1533-position model. The record is from RNAcentral.
UACGGAGGGAGCUAGCGUUGUUCGGAAUUACUGGGCGUAAAGCGCACGUAGGCGGCUAUUCAAGUCAGGGGUGAAAGCCCAAGGCUCAACCUUGGAAUUGCCUUUGAUACUGAGGGCCUUGAGACCGGAAGAGGUCGGCGGAACUGCGAGUGUAGAGGUGAAAUUCGUAGAUAUUCGCAAGAACACCAGUGGCGAAGGCGGCCGACUGGUCCGGUUCUGACGCUGAGGCGCGAAAGCGUGGGGAGCAAACAGG